RNAcentral lists this ribosomal RNA (440 nucleotides) under uncultured bacterium. RNAcentral describes it as "partial 16S ribosomal RNA". It matches the Rfam family "Bacterial small subunit ribosomal RNA", at positions 338 to 795 of the family's 1533-position model. The record is from RNAcentral.
CCUACGGGAGGCAGCAGUAGGGAAUAUUGCUCAAUGGGGGAAACCCUGAAGCAGCAACGCCGCGUGGAGGAUGAAGGUUUUCGGAUUGUAAAAUCCUUUUGUUAGAGAAGAAAAUGACGGUAUCUAACGAAUAAGCACCGGCUAACUCCGUGCCAGCAGUCGCGGUAAUACGGAGGGUGCAAGCGUUACUCGGAAUCACUGGGCGUAAAGAGCGCGUAGGCGGGAUAGCAAGUCAGAUGUGAAAUCCUAUGGCUUAACCAUAGAACUGCAUUUGAAACUGGUAUUCUAGAGUAUGGGAGAGGUAGGUGGAAUUCUUGGUGUAGGGGUAAAAUCCGUAGAGAUCAAGAGGAAUACUCAUUGCGAAGGCGACCUGCUAGAACAUAACUGACGCUGAUGCGCGAAAGCGUGGGUAGCAAACAGGAUUAGAUACCCCGGUAGUC